Molecule: ribosomal RNA, 234 nt
Filed under: Dietzia sp.
Lineage: Bacteria; Bacillati; Actinomycetota; Actinomycetes; Mycobacteriales; Dietziaceae
Description: partial 16S ribosomal RNA
Rfam family: Bacterial small subunit ribosomal RNA
Source: RNAcentral
GGAGGAAGGUGGGGAUGACGUCAAAUCAUCAUGCCCCUUAUGUCUAGGGCUUCACACAUGCUACAAUGGCUAGUACAGAGGGCUGCGAUACCGCGAGGUGGAGCGAAUCCCUUAAAGCUGGUCUCAGUUCGGAUUGGGGUCUGCAACUCGACCCCAUGAAGUCGGAGUCGCUAGUAAUCGCAGAUCAGCAACGCUGCGGUGAAUACGUUCCCGGGCCUUGUACACACCGCCCGU